CAGUCGCCGCGGGAAUACGAAGGGGGCUAGCGUUGCUCGGAAUGACUGGGCGUAAAGGGCGCGUAGGCAGCGAUCAAAGUCAGGCGUGAAAUUCCUGGGCUCAACCUGGGGGCUGCGCUUGAUACUUGGUUGCUUGAGUGGGGAAGAGGGUCGUGGAAUUCCCAGUGUAGAGGUGAAAUUCGUAGAUAUAGGAAGGAACACCAGUGGCGAAGGCGACCACCUGGGCUCAUACUGACACUGAGGUGCGAAAGCGUGGGGAGCAAACAGGAUUAGAUACCCGCGUAGUCCCUGUCUCUUAUAC
Molecule: ribosomal RNA, 301 nt
Filed under: uncultured bacterium
Lineage: Bacteria
Description: partial 16S ribosomal RNA
Rfam family: Bacterial small subunit ribosomal RNA
Source: RNAcentral